Molecule: RNA transcript, 3274 nt
Organism: Salvia hispanica
Lineage: Eukaryota; Viridiplantae; Streptophyta; Magnoliopsida; Lamiales; Lamiaceae
Gene: PWP2
Gene name: periodic tryptophan protein 2
Source: RefSeq, a predicted model, not a curated record
UCAUAGCUACUGAGUUUUAGGGUUUAAGCAAACAGAGCAGUGAACGCUUCACCGCCAAAACCCUAAACCAUUUGUGCAAACCCAAAUUCACCAUGAAUUACAGGUUCCACAACUUGUUAGGCGCCCCCUACCGCGGCGGAAACGCCGCCAUCGUCAACAACAAUCUCCUCGUCUCUCCGGUCGGCAACCGCGUCUCCGUCACCGAUCUCCUCAAGUCGGAGACCAUAACCCUCCCCUGCCAGGCCUCCACCAAUCUCCGCCGCAUCGCCGCCUCACCCGACGGCGUCUUCCUCCUCACGGUCGACGAGAACAACCGCUGUCUCUUCAUCAACCUCCCCCGCCGCGCCGUCCUGCACCGUCUCUCCUUCAAGCAUCCCGUCUCCGACGUCAAAUUCAGCCCCGACGGUCGCUUAAUCGCCGUCGCCGCGGGUAAGCUUCUACAGAUAUGGCGAUCCCCGGGAUUCAGGAAGGAAUUCUUCCCGUUUGAGUUGAUUAGGACAUUUUCUGAUUGUAAUGAUCGGAUUACGUCGCUGGAUUGGAGCCCUAGCUCGGAUUACUUAGUCGUCGGGUCUAAGGAUUUGACUGGGAGGCUUUUUUAUUUGAGCAAAGGGAAGAAGAAGAAAAAUAGCUAUAGUAAGCCGUUCUUAUUUUUGGGGCAUAGAGACACCAUUGUGGGAACUUUCUUUGGGGUUGAUAAGAAGACGAAUGAUGUUACGAAGGUUUAUACUUUAUCGCGCGACGGUGCGAUUUUUACGUGGGGAUAUAGUAGCAAUGAUCCCGAACCUACUAAAAUGGAGGAAGAUUGUUCAGAGCCUGAUUCUCCGGGGAUGCCGGAGCAGAGGCAGGAUGCAGAAGAAAGGAAGGAUCUUGGUGCUAUUGGAGACGGUGAUGAAGAUGAUGAGCACUUAUUACACAAAAAGAAGUGGAGCUUGUUGAAAAAGGACUUUUUUAUGCAAGCACAGGCAAAGUUAACAGCAUGUGAUUAUCACAGAGGGCUUGAUUUGGUGGUGGUGGGAUUCUCUAAUGGGGUGUUUGCGUUGUAUCAGAUGCCUGAUUUUGUUUGCCUUCACUUGCUAUCAAUUUCACGGGAGAAAAUCACUACAGCUGUGUUUAAUGAUCUGGGGAAUUGGUUGACAUUUGGUUGUGCAAAGCUAGGGCAGUUGCUUGUGUGGGAGUGGAAAUCGGAGAGUUAUAUAUUGAAGCAGCAGGGUCAUUAUUUUGAUGUGAAUUGCAUUGCUUAUUCGCCAGAUUCACAGCUAUUGGCUACAGGAGCAGAUGAUAACAAGAUCAAGGUUUGGACGGCCUCUUCAGGCUUCUGCUUUGUGACAUUCUCUGAGCAUACAAAUGCUGUCACUGCACUGCAUUUCAUGCCUAAUAACCAUUGUCUUCUUAGUGCCUCUCUGGAUGGGACUGUUCGUGCUUGGGAUUUGUUCCGUUAUCGAAACUUUAAAACCUUUGUUACCCCUACGCCUAAGCAAUUUGUUUCCCUGGCAGCAGAUCAGAGUGGUGAAGUGAUUUGUGCUGGAACUCUUGAUUCAUUUGAGAUAUUUGUUUGGUCAAUGAAGACGGGCCGGUUAUUGGAUGUUCUCAGCGGUCACGAGGGUCCUGUUCAUGGAUUAAUGUUUUCUCCCAAUACUUCCAUCCUGGCUUCCUCUUCCUGGGACAAAACUGUGCGCCUGUGGGAUGUAUUUUCAGGAAAAGGCGGUGUUGAAAAAUUUGAACAUACACAUGAUGUUCUUACACUUACUUAUCGACCGGAUGGCAAACAGCUAGCUUGUAGCACACUAGAUGGGCAAAUUCAUUUUUGGGAUACACUAGAAGGCUUAGAAAUGUUCACAAUUGAAGGCCGCAGAGACAUUGCUGGUGGGCGACUCAUGACUGAUCGUAGGUCAGCUGCGAACUCCUCUGCUGGAAAGUGCUUCACAACUUUGAAUUACUCUGCUGAUGGUAGCUACAUAUUAGCUGGGGGAAGUAGCAAAUACAUCUGUAUGUACGAUGUUGCUGAUCAGGUACUGUUACGAAGAUUCCAGAUAACUCAUAAUUUAUCAUUGGAUGGGGUCCUUGAUUUCUUAAACUCAAAGAAUAUGACUGAAGCUGGACCAUUAGAUUUGAUAGACGAUGAUGACAGUGACACCGAGGAAGGAGUGGAUAAGCAAUCACAAAAAAAAUUGGCAUAUGAUCUUCCUGGAUCAAUGCCCAACCAUGGUAGACCUAUUAUUCGUACGAAGUGUUUGAGAAUUGCUCCGACUGGAAGAAGCUGGGCUGCUGCAACUACAGAAGGGGUACUGAUAUAUUCCAUGGACGAGUCCUUUAUAUUUGAUCCCACUGAUCUGGACAUCGACGUUACACCAGAGGCAGUUGAUGCAGCUCUAAAAGAGGAUGAACCAAAAAGAGCUCUGAUACUCAGUCUUCGCCUGAAUGAAGAUACCUUAAUAAAGAAGUGUAUAGUUGCUGUUAGUCCUGUAGAUAUACCAGCUGUUGCUUCAUCAGUCCCCUUCAGAUAUUUGCUGAGAUUAGUGCAGGCGCUUGGGGAUCUUCUAGAGCAGUCUCCGCAUUUAGAGUUCAUCCUCCGAUGGUGCCAGGAACUCUGCAAAGCCCACGGAAGUUCUAUUCAGCAGAAUAAUAGAAACCUGCUUCCUGCCCUGAAAUCCUUGCAAAAGGCAGUUACCACAUUACAUCAAGAUUUGGCAGAUACAUGCUCAUCUAAUGAGUACAUGCUCCGAUAUUUGUGUUCUACAAGCAACAGCAGAUAGUCCCAUAUAGUGGUCUCACAUGCACACUUCGGAUGUAGUUUGGUGAAGAAUCCAUGUUUCAACCCAGUGAAACUAAAAGUAGAGAACAUGGAUUCUUGUCUUAAUAUAUCGGCGAGCUUUAUCUGAGAUUGUUUUGAUUGCCGGAGUAGGAUUAGCUUGUCGUUGACUAAGAUGGCAACUAAAAAAAGGAAUUCCAAGUUUGGUAGUAUUUGGAAAAUUGGUGGAGGCAUAGCUGCUGUUCUUCAAGCUUCUGAAUGCUGAAGCAGAAAGUAGCAGCAUUUUUGACUGGAUGAAAGAGAUGAAUUACUCAGAUAUUAAUACAGAGACUAAUGUAUAUUUGUUUCAAUGAAAUCAAUAUGUUGUUGUCAACUUAUGAAUUGAUGUAUUUUUUUGAACGCUUUCUUUUUUUGGCAUUUUUUUUACCAAGUGACAGUUUCUUAUUUGGAUUCAUCUACGUCCCUUAUGUACUUGUAAUCGGAGUCCAAUGAAAAUUUUGACACAGCAUUGAUUUAUUUGCAAAA